Molecule: ribosomal RNA, 253 nt
Filed under: uncultured bacterium
Lineage: Bacteria
Description: partial 16S ribosomal RNA
Rfam family: Bacterial small subunit ribosomal RNA
Source: RNAcentral
UACGUAGGGGGCGAGCGUUGUCCGAAGUUACUGGGCGUAAAGCGCGCGUAGGCGGGGGAGCAAGUCCGCUGUGAAAGCCCGGAGCUUAACUCCGGAGGGUCGGUGGAUACUGCUUCUCUUGAAGUGGCUAGGGGGAGAUGGAAUUACCGGUGUAGCGGUGAAAUGCGUAGAGAUCGGUAGGAACACCAGUGGCGAAGGCGGCUCUCUGGACCACAACUGACGCUGAGGCGCGAAAGCUAGGGGAGCAAACAGG